Molecule: ribosomal RNA, 392 nt
Filed under: uncultured prokaryote
Description: partial 16S ribosomal RNA
Source: RNAcentral
CCCUAUGGGGUGCCAGGAUUGUCAUCAUACGGGGUAUCGGGGUCGAAUCGGGAUUUUCGAGAUGAUCAAGCUGACGGAUGCGAUGCGCGAGGUGGUGAUGAAUCGUCCAUCGAGCAGUCAGGUGAGGCGAGCGGCGGGCGAGGAGUUUGUCGACAUGAGGCGAGAGGGGUAUGCGAAGGUGCUGGCGGGGAUAACGACGCUGGAAGAGGUCUGGCGAGUGACGCAGGAUGCGUUUCAGGAGAAUGGGAAGAUCGAGAAAAGUUGAGAGAAGAGAAAUUCCGAAGUCAAAAUGCAAAUUUCAAAGUGCAAAAUGCAAAAGUGAAGUGAAGAGGCGAUGGGCAGGUUUGUUUACAAAGCGGUGGAUGUUCGCGGGCAGGAAUUGGCGGGAGGGC